AUUGAACGCUGGCGGCAUGCCUUACACAUGCAAGUCGAACGGCAGCAUGAUCUAGCUUGCUAGAUUGAUGGCGAGUGGCGAACGGGUGAGUAAUACAUCGGAACGUGCCCUGUAGUGGGGGAUAACUAGUCGAAAGAUUAGCUAAUACCGCAUACGACCUGAGGGUGAAAGUGGGGGACCGCAAGGCCUCAUGCUAUAGGAGCGGCCGAUGUCUGAUUAGCUAGUUGGUGAGGUAAAGGCUCACCAAGGCGACGAUCAGUAGCUGGUCUGAGAGGACGAUCAGCCACACUGGGACUGAGACACGGCCCAGACUCCUACGGGAGGCAGCAGUGGGGAAUUUUGGACAAUGGGCGAAAGCCUGAUCCAGCAAUGCCGCGUGUGUGAAGAAGGCCUUCGGGUUGUAAAGCACUUUUGUCCGGAAAGAAAUGGCUCUGGUUAAUACCUGGGGUCGAUGACGGUACCGGAAGAAUAAGGACCGGCAAACUACGUG
RNAcentral lists this ribosomal RNA (490 nucleotides) under uncultured bacterium. RNAcentral describes it as "partial 16S ribosomal RNA". It matches the Rfam family "Bacterial small subunit ribosomal RNA", at positions 30 to 507 of the family's 1533-position model. The record is from RNAcentral.